Molecule: ribosomal RNA, 1293 nt
Filed under: Triticum aestivum (bread wheat)
Lineage: Eukaryota; Viridiplantae; Streptophyta; Magnoliopsida; Poales; Poaceae
Description: partial small subunit ribosomal RNA
Source: RNAcentral
AUGGACAUGGACAUGGAGGAGCCUCCCCACCUGUUCCUGUGCCCCAUCUCCAUGGAGCUCAUGGAGGAGCCCGUCACGGUGUCCACCGGCGUCACCUACGACCGCCGCAGCAUCGAGCGCUGGCUCUUCACGUACGGCCGGGCCACCUGCCCGGCCACCAUGCAGCCGCUCGCCAACCUUGACCUCACCCCGAACCACACCCUCGCGCGCGUCAUCUCCUCCUGGCUCGACCGCGGCUCCUCCUCCUCGUCGUCCUCGUCGUCGCCGUCCACGUCGUCGCUGUCGAGUCCGGUCCACGAGCUGGGGACGCCGCUGACGAGGAUGCUGGAGGAGGAGCGGCUGCGGUCGGCGCUGGGCGACCUCGAGCAGACGCCGUUCAAGGUGACCGCGCUCAAGAGCAUGCGGAGCUGCAUGGCGGGCGACGUGGCCAUGCAGAUCAUCUUCGUCGCCUCGGGCGGCGUUGAGGCGGUCGGCCGCGUGAUGGCGCAGGCGCUGGCGGAGAGCGGCGCGGGGGGCGACUUCUCCGCGUUCACGGUGUGCGAGGAGGCCGCGGCGGUGCUCGCCGCGCUCCCGCUCUCCGACGAGGCGUCGGCGGGGCUCGUUCUUGCGCCGGAGUGCCUGAGGCCCGUCAUGGUGUUGCUCCAGCGCGGCAGCGCGGAGGCGAGGCUGCACGCCAUGGACAUCCUCACCAAGAUCUCCAGUGCCGGCGCCGGUGACCACUGGACUGCCGGCAUCGACGUCGACGACGUGCUCAAGUCCCUCCUCGAGCUCCUGUCCGACGAGGUCUCCGCGCGCCUCAGCUCGCGCGCGCUCAACGUGCUCCUGGACGUCGUGGAGCGGUCGCCGAGCGGCCGCGCCAAGGCCGUGGAGGUCGGCGCGGUGCACGUCCUCGUCGAGCUCCUCGUCGUGGACGCCGACGACCGCCACGUCGCCGAGCGGAUACUGCUGCUUCUCAAGCGGCUGUGCAAGUGCCCUGAGGGGCGCCUCGCCUUCGCCGAGCACGACCUGUCGGUGGCAGCCGUGGCGAGGACAAUGCUGCGGGUGUCGGAUCUGGCCACGCAGCUGGCCGUCAAGGUGCUGUGGCUCGUGUCCAUGGUGGCCCAGUCGGAGAAGGUGCUCGAGGACAUGGUGCUCACCGGCGCCGUGGCGAAGCUGCUGGGGCUGCUGCACGUCGAGAGCGCGCCGUCCACGAAGCAAAAGACAGUGAGGAUGGUGAGGAUCCACGGCGUGUUCUGGAGGCAGUACCCUUGCUUCCCAACCGACCUCAAGGAUUACUUGAGGCUGCUCGAUUGA